UACGUAGGGGGCAAGCGUUGUCCGGAAUUAUUGGGCGUAAAGCGCGUGUAGGCGGUUCGAUAAGUCUGCUGUAAAAGUCAAGGGCUCAACCCUUGAAAGCCGGUGGAUACUGUCGAACUAGAGUACGGAAGAGGCGAGUGGAAUUCCUGGUGUAGCGGUGAAAUGCGCAGAUAUCAGGAGGAACACCAAUUGCGAAGGCAGCUCGCUGGUACGUUACUGACGCUGAGACGCGAAAGCGUGGGGAGCAAACAGGAUUAGAUACCCUGGUAGUCCACGCUGUAAACGAUGGGAACUAGGUGUGGGGGGUGUCGACUCCCCCCGUGCCGAAGCUAACGCAUUAAGUUCCCCGCCUGGGGAGUACGGCCGCAAGGCUAAA
This 376-nucleotide ribosomal RNA is filed under the name uncultured bacterium. Its description in RNAcentral is "bacterial SSU rRNA". It matches the Rfam family "Bacterial small subunit ribosomal RNA", at positions 524 to 898 of the family's 1533-position model. The record is from RNAcentral.